CUAAUGGCUUUUCUAAAGCCAUAGACAUUUGAAGGAAAUAUAUUU
Molecule: non-coding RNA, 45 nt
Organism: Stegodyphus mimosarum
Lineage: Eukaryota; Metazoa; Arthropoda; Arachnida; Araneae; Eresidae
Source: Rfam